UACGAAGGGGGCUAGCGUUGCUCGGAAUUACUGGGCGUAAAGCGCACGUAGGCGGUCUUUUAAGUCGGGGGUGAAAUCCUGGAGCUCAACUCCAAGAACUGCCUUCGAUACUGGAAGACUUGAGUCCGGGAGAGGUGAGUGGAACUGCGAGUGUAGAGGUGAAAUUCGUAGAUAUUGGGAAGAACACGGUGGCGAAGGCGGCUCACUGGCUCGUAUCUGACGCUGAGGCGCGAGAGCGUGGGGAGCAAACCGGG
This 254-nucleotide ribosomal RNA is filed under the name uncultured bacterium. Its description in RNAcentral is "partial 16S ribosomal RNA". It matches the Rfam family "Bacterial small subunit ribosomal RNA", at positions 524 to 777 of the family's 1533-position model. The record is from RNAcentral.